Molecule: ribosomal RNA, 463 nt
Filed under: uncultured bacterium
Lineage: Bacteria
Description: partial 16S ribosomal RNA
Rfam family: Bacterial small subunit ribosomal RNA
Source: RNAcentral
GAUGAACGCUGACAGAAUGCUUAACACAUGCAAGUCUUUGGCGAAGCUGUGCUUGCACAGCCUAGCCAAGGCGGACGGGUGAGUAACGCGUAAGGAACUUGCCCUGCAGUCAGGGAUAACAGACGGAAACGACUGAUAAGACCUGGUAAAGUCAGGCGGACUCAUGUCCAGCCUGAUGAAAAGAGAUGCUGCAGGAGAGCCUUGCGUCCUAUUAGCUUGUUGGUGGGGUAACGGCCCACCAAGGCGAUGAUAGGUAGCCGGCCUGAGAGGGUGGACGGCCACAAGGGGACUGAGAUACGGCCCUUACUCCUACGGGAGGCAGCAGUGGGGAAUAUUAGACAAUGGGGGCAACCCUGAUCCAGCAAUUCUGUGUGCACGAUGAAGGUUUUCGGAUUGUAAAGUGCUUUCAGCAGGGAGGAAAAAAAUGACGGUACCUGCAGAAGAAGCGACGGCUAAAUACGUG